UUUUUUUAUUUAUAAAAUUGUAUUUGUAAAACAGACAUGUAUGGACAGCAAUGCUAAUGACCAGGGAAAACAUGGAACAUGCAUACAUAAGUUUUCUAGAAAAUCAAUACAGAGUUGACGAGUGGUACACAUAUAUAACAUGGCGAUCAAUACUCAUAACACACAAUAUUCGGUUACUGAAUAAAAGUGAAAAAGGAAACGGGGAAUGUGUCAAAGCGACAACAAACUUAGAUUCAGAAUCAUCUAUUACCAAAUAUGACGCAAAUUGAUAACAAAAAGUAAAUUGACUUUAUAUGAUAUCAUAUAAAUUAUAAAUUGUAUACACAAUUUCAGGAUAUAAUAUAAAUUAUAAGCUGGACUUUUUCGUGAAUUUACACAAUUAUACAGAGCCAAAGAGGAUAAUAAUACGUAAUCCUCUUGAUAUUUAGUAUUCUCUCGAAACAUUCUUAUAAUUUUCUUAUCUACAAAUAAAUCAAUUGUUUUUUUCAACCAGAUAUGCGACUUUUUAACCGAUCAAACCAAAAUCCACAAAAAAUAUUUCCGUAAAAGAAAUGAAUGUUACUAAUCCAGUAACUAUUCCUGAGACUUGUAUGCGAUA
Molecule: long non-coding RNA, 598 nt
Filed under: Mytilus galloprovincialis (Mediterranean mussel)
Lineage: Eukaryota; Metazoa; Mollusca; Bivalvia; Mytilida; Mytilidae
Source: RNAcentral